CAUUGUGAUGUGGAAUCUAGAGGAAGUCUAAGGCAAAGUACUGCAUUGAUGAACAAGAAGUAGCUAUAAGGACGAACGUAACUGAAUAAGUUUGCUAUGCAAACUAAAGUUUAAUGCUACUUGAUGUUGCUUUCAGUAAGGCUAACGGUGAUGGUGAUAU
Molecule: non-coding RNA, 160 nt
Filed under: uncultured Limosilactobacillus sp.
Lineage: Bacteria; Bacillati; Bacillota; Bacilli; Lactobacillales; Lactobacillaceae
Source: RNAcentral